RNAcentral lists this ribosomal RNA (502 nucleotides) under uncultured Glomeromycotina. RNAcentral's name for it is "partial small subunit ribosomal RNA". It matches the Rfam family "Eukaryotic small subunit ribosomal RNA", at positions 591 to 1092 of the family's 1831-position model. Lineage: Eukaryota; Fungi; Glomeromycota. The record is from RNAcentral.
CCAAUAGCGUAUAUUAAAGUUGUUGCAGUUAAAAAGCUCGUAGUUGAAUUUCGGAAUUUGUCGGUUGGUCGGGCUUCACUGUCCGCACUGGCCUGAUGGAUUCCUACCUUCUGAAUAACCAGCAUGCUAUUAAGUUAGUGCGUUGGGGAAGCAGAGCUAUUACCUUGAAAAAAUUAGAGUGCUUAAAGCAGGCUUGCGCUUGAAUAGAUUAGCAUGGAAUAAUAAAAUAGGACGGCAUGGUUCUAUUUUGUUGGUUUCUAGGAUCACCGUAAUGAUUAAUAGGGAUAGUUGGGGGCAUUAGUAUUCAAUUGUCAGAGGUGAAAUUCUUGGAUUUAUUGAAGACUAACUUCUGCGAAAGCAUUUGCCAAGGAUGUUUUCAUUAAUCAAGAACGAAAGUUAGGGGAUCGAAGACGAUCAGAUACCGUCGUAGUCUUAACCAUAAACUAUGCCGACUAGGGAUCGGACGAUGUUAAUUUUUUAAUGACUCGUUCGGCGCCUUACG